GGGCUCGUAGCUCAGUGGAAGAGCACCACGUUCGCAACGCGGGGGCCGCGGGUUCAAAUCCCGCCGGGUCCA
Molecule: transfer RNA, 72 nt
Filed under: Methanocellales archaeon
Lineage: Archaea; Methanobacteriati; Methanobacteriota; Methanomicrobia; Methanocellales
Description: tRNA-Ala
Rfam family: tRNA
About the family: Transfer RNA (tRNA) molecules are approximately 80 nucleotides in length.
Source: RNAcentral